CCUACGGGCGGCAGCAGUGGGGAAUCUUCCGCAAUGGACGAAAGUCUGACGGAGCAACGCCGCGUGAGUGAUGACGGCCUUCGGGUUGUAAAGCUCUGUUAAUCGGGACGAAAGGCCUUCUUGCGAAUAGUGAGAAGGAUUGACGGUACCGGAAUAGAAAGCCACGGCUAACUACGUGCCAGCAGCCGCGGUAAUACGUAGGUGGCAAGCGUUGUCCGGAAUUAUUGGGCGUAAAGCGCGCGCAGGCGGAUAGGUCAGUCUGUCUUAAAAGUUCGGGGCUUAACCCCGUGAUGGGAUGGAAACGGCCAAUCUAGAGUAUCGGAGAGGAAAGUGGAAUUCCUAGUGUAGCGGUGAAAUGCGUAGAUAUUAGGAAGAACACCAGUGGCGAAGGCGACUUUCUGGACGAAAACUGACGCUGAGGCGCGAAAGCCAGGGGAGCGAACGGGAUUAGAUACCCUUGUAGUC
Molecule: ribosomal RNA, 465 nt
Filed under: uncultured Veillonella sp.
Lineage: Bacteria; Bacillati; Bacillota; Negativicutes; Veillonellales; Veillonellaceae
Description: bacterial SSU rRNA
Rfam family: Bacterial small subunit ribosomal RNA
Source: RNAcentral